GCUGCAGCCCUGUCUUCAAGUCUAGACCUAUCCCCGAGCUCGUAGACUCUCUUUUUGUGGUGGUUCUUCGUUUAAUCGCACGUACUAUCGCGUAGCGGAUCAGUUCCUUGACUGGCAAGACUCUUGGCAGGAGGACUUGGAGGUUCUUGGUUAGGGCACGAGAAGCUGCUUUUUUAAGGUACUUCGUUAGGAGGAACCCUGGGUGGCCAUCUUUGUCCUCCAUCUGCAUGCAGCACGAGUAAGCCUCGUCUUCAGCCCCUACGUGGGCACGUGCCACAGUCACUAGCUUCAUCAGAGCCCUGUUCUUGAACCUAGCCGCGUUGGUUAACAGCACAGAGCUUCCUCCAGCACGGAAUAAACAGUUUGACAACAUCAUCGACCUAUCUUUACCGCAAUACCAGUGAGGACCCAUCGUCUCGGUGCUCACCACGAGCGCAAACGCGUUUUCCUGCUUUGGGUUGUUCGCUUUGAUUGCCAUAACGUACGCGUGGCUCGCGUUUCCGCCGCAUAUCGGACGCACGGAUCAUGUGUCCUCUUCUUCCCUAGGUUGCAGAGAGGAUAACGAGGGUUCCUGGUCCAUUGGCGUUUUCUAUGGCGAUUCUCCCUUCACUCUCAAACCCAUCGAAACCGUGAGUCUCCUAAUCUACUCAGUUUCGUGCAAUUUUAUUAGAAUGCAAAUCGUUUGAUAGCUAGGGUUCAUGAGUUUUGAAUCAACAAUAUUAACCACGUUUUAUCUGGUGAGUUUGGAAACAGAUUAAUGUAUGGAGGAACGAGAGUGCAGCAUGGCCUGUAGCUAAUCCAGUUUUAACAUGUGUCUCCUUGACCAAUUAUGGCUUUCCAAGCAACUUUGUAGCUGGUCCAUUUCUCUAUGUACAGGUAUACACAUUAUAGUCAUCUUCAUCGACACAAAACAGGUCCUCAAAAUUUUGGAGGCUAUAGACAAUUUAAUAAGAAUUUCUAUUAACACCUUUUGCGUACAAUUUUAUGGGUUAUAUAUAUGUAAUUUUUUCUUAAAAUUUUGGAGGUUGUAGGCCAAUACUCCACUAGUCUAUGCUUAGGACCGACCAUGCAUCAUCGACAUUGCAGUAUCUUUGACUUAUCAUGAACACAUUCUCUAGCGAAAGUGUUAUAAGUCUCUUUUGCUCAUGUCUCAUUUCUCAUUCUUAUCUUACCAAAACAGGGUGAUACUCUUUACAUGUUCUUUGAAAAUAAAAACCCCAUUACAAUGCAAGGGGACAUAGGAGUUGCACAAAGUACCGACAAAGGAGCAACUUGGAAACCUCUCGGUAUAGCUCUGGAUGAGCCUUGGCACUUAUCUUUUCCUUUCGUCUUCAAUUACAACGAACAAGUGAGAGAUCGGUUUCUUACUAGCAAAGUUCCAUGAUACACACUCAUGAUAUUAACAUACUUUUUUUUUGUUUCUUUCUAAAAGAUAUACAUGAUGCCGGAGAGCAACCAGAUAGGAGAGCUUCGUCUCUACCGUGCUGUUAACUUCCCUUUAACUUGGAAGCUAGAGAAAGUCAUCUUACAAAAGCCGCUUGUUGAUUCCACCAUACUCCACCACCAAGGAAACUAUUGGCUAUUUGGAUCAGAUCAUAGUAGUUUCGGACAUCUAGAAAUUUGGUACAGCGCCACUCCUCUUGGCCCAUGGAAGCCACACAAGAAGAAUCCUAUCCACAACGGGGCACGAAACGGAGGGAGAGCGUUUUUACAUAAAGGUAAUCUCUACCGUGUUGGUCAAGCUUCCAGUGAGAGUUAUGAGAAAAAAAUACGCAUUUAUAAAAUAGAGGUUCUUUCUAAGGAAGAGUAUAGAGAAGUCCAAGUCCCCUUUGAUUUAGAAACGUCACAUAAAGGUCAAAACUCUUGGAACGGAGUUAGGCAGCAUCGCUUCGAUGUGUUACAGCUAAGCUCUGGCGAAUACAUUGGUCUUGUUGAUGGUGACCGUGUAACAUCAGGUGAUCUGGUUUUUAGGGUUUUUCUAGGGUCUGCUUCUCUCGCAGGUGCUAUUACACUUGUUGUGUUGCUAGGGUUUUUUCUUGGGAUCUUGAACUGCAUUGUUCCAUCAACCUGGUGUGUGAAAUACUACAAAGGAAAAAGAACCGAUGCGGUCUUGAACUUGGAGACAACAAGUUUUGUGUCUGAACAGUUAAGAAGGAUGUGUUCUAGGUUAAACCGAGUACCGCCUUUUCUCAGAGGACUUGUGAAACCUAACUCCACGUUUGGAAGAUUGACACUAGGUUUGUUAUUAGUUCUAGGAGCUUUGCUCACAUGUGUAGGGAUUAGUUAUAUAAACGGUGGAAGCGGAGCGGUGUUGCCUUACACAUUAAAAGGUCAUGUAUCUCAGUUCACGUUAGCAACUAUGACGUACGACGCACGUCUCUGGAACCUAAAAAUGUACCUGAAGCAUUACUCUCGAUGUCCAUCAGUAAAAGAGAUCCUCGUCAUAUGGAACAAAGGACCACCUCCUGAACUCACCGAGCUAGACUCGGCCGUGCCAGUUAGAAUCCGAGUCGAGAAGCUGAACUCUCUAAACAACAGGUUCAAUAUCGACCCGUUGAUUAAAACAAGAGCUGUUCUUGAGCUUGACGAUGAUAUAAUGAUGCCUUGUGAUACCAUCGAGAAAGGGUUUAGAGUGUGGAGAGAGUAUCCGGAGAGACUUGUUGGAUACUACCCGCGUUUUGUUGAUGAGACAAUGAGUUAUAGUGCUGAGAAGUUUGCGAGAAGUCAUAAUGGAUACAAUAUGAUUCUCACUGGAGCAGCGUUUAUGGACGUUGGUUUCGCGUUUGGUUUGUAUCAGUCGGAGAAGGCGAGGCUUGGUCGAGAGUUUGUGGACGAGCAGUUUAAUUGUGAAGACGUUUUGUUGAAUUUUUUGUAUGCUAAUGUGAGUGGUUUGGUUAAGGCUGUGGAGUAUGUGAGACCGUCUUUGGCUAUUGACACUUCGAAAUUUUCUGGUGUAGCGAUCAGUGGAAACACGAAUGACCAUUACAGGAAGAGAAGCAAGUGUCUUAGGAGAUUCUCUGAUUUGUAUGGGAGUUUGUCUGAUAGGAGAUGGGAGUUUGGUGGGAGAAAAGAUGGGUGGGAUUUGUAGAAAAAUGAGUUGUUACUUGUAUGGCAAGUAAAUCCUUACCUCAACUAGAACACGAAGCAGUCUUCUUACAAGAAUGAAGUUAACUUCGCCGUUGCUAGAAGCAUCGGCUUUAACGUCUCCUUUUGCAGCACUAAACGUCCAUGUUUUGGCAAAAAACACUACCUUUUCAACUUAGCUCUCUUGGUUCAAGUCUUGUCUACUUUUUUUUUCGGUUUUUCUAAAAACAAAAUGUAAAUAUAUUCUUAUGAAUGUGUUUUGUUUUAUAUUUUUAAAAUAUUCAUUUUGCAUUUAUUAAAUUUAGAUUUAAACAAAAUGCAAAUAUAUUCUUAGGAGAUUUAACGAUUGAAUUAUUAACGUAUCUUUUGCAAAUUCCUCUAAAUUUUUGAUUAAAUUUAAGUUACAUAUAUCUACAUGAAUAAAAAAAAAUAUUAGAUUUGAUUUGGGUCAAAUAAAAAUUUAAUUGAAAUGGAAAGAGAAUAGAGAUUGCGUUCCUCAGUUCGGAUCGACACGAAUAUUUGCAAUUUACUCAUCUCCUAGCCUGUAUUUUGUGUACUUUUUGCCAUUAAAAGCCUAGUUUUUUCAUCUAUUCGUGACAAAAUUUGCUUAUCAAAUACUAAGUAAAUAAGAAAUUGUGGUACAUACCAAGCAAUUUAUAUCGUUGCUCAAAGAGGGAGGGACUGAAUCGAGAAUGGCACUAAAAGAUGUACCCGUAACUUCACAGCUACAUAAGCUGCAACGUUAACUGGGUCUUUCUUCUAAAUGAUACUUCAAAACUAUUAAACUAGUAAUUAGAGAACAUUUCAUACCAAAGUCGUGAUUUAACCAAAAUUUUAAGCUACUAUAGUAACAUUUUACAAAUGGACCCAUAACCUUACAGCUCUCUAUGAUCAAAAUUUUAAUCAACUUAUAUUCAACAUAGAUGAUAAACAGAAUCGUGUGGGAGUUUUAGUAAAACAUUUUAAGAAACCACGAAUCUAUUGUUUGUAAAGCGAUUUAUAAAUAGCAGGAGCUAUUAUAUUUGUUAAAAUACUGUAACAUUCUCUUCUAAAAUUCUUUUUUAGUAUAAGAGCAACCAUACUAUUGUCUCCCAUGUUUCCACUAAUAUUGUUGACUCAUUGGACCACAAUUUUCUAUUUUCAUGUAAGGCUCCAGUCUUUGAAGUUUGAACAACAACAAAAAUGUAAAUAAGACUCCCCUAUCUAAAACAAUGAUACUGUAUAUGCAUUCAAAGGUAAUGUCAGAGAGUUUGACAUUUCACCCAUCUAUAUACAAGACAUGCCUAUAAACUGAACACAUGAAAUUUAUUGCUCGCUCUUACUCAUAAAUGGGUAAACCACACCAAUGCAAAUCUGUCAAAAAGUAAAUGCAAACAACUAUAAAUAUACAAAUCUGUUCGACACUGUUCAAAAAAUCUACCUAUACACCAAUUAUUGGUCACUAGCUAGUCAAAUCUUCAAUAAAUUUAUUUAUAAAUUUAAUAAAAAAUUAAAAUUCAUGGAAAGAAAUAGUAAUAACUGCGAGUAUACUUGUCGAUUAUUACUUUUAUAUUAAAUUCAAAACGGGAAAAAUAGUAGAAAAGUAGUCGAAUAUAGCACCUUGUCGGUCUAAACAUUACAAAUAAUACAAACUUCAAACACACAAUAUUUCAUAAAAAUAUAUUGGAAAAAGAUAUUUUUCGAUCUUAUUUUCCUCAUUGCUUACUUGUUAUGGAUCAAACACGAAUAAAGCUCAUGGUAUCAUCAUUGAUCCAGUCAUACUUCUCAACGAACGGGUUAGGGAUCUUGGACAGUUCAGGAUAUCGAUCCAUGGAAUCUUCCCAAACAUUUUUACCAUCAAGAUUCUUAAGAACCUCCCAAACACAGUUGUUAGACUCGAACCCAGCUCCCAUGCACAUCAUUAGUAUCUUGUCACCUUUCUUUAACCUCUUCUUAGCUUCCAUAUAACCAAGAACAUACCACAAACCACCAGAGGAUGUAUUACCGAACCUAUGAAGCGCCAUUCUCGACGGCUCAAUAUCAAACUCCGUGAGCCCUAAGCUUGUUCCGACCCCUUCGAUAAUAGCUCUUCCUCCAGGGUGAAUACAAAAAUGCUGCAGCCCUGUCUUCAAGUCUAGACCUAUCCCCGAGCUCGUAGACUCUCUUUUUGUGGUGGUUCUUCGUUUAAUCGCACGUACUAUCGCGUAGCGGAUCAGUUCCUUGACUGGCAAGACUCUUGGCAGGAGGACUUGGAGGUUCUUGGUUAGGGCACGAGAAGCUGCUUUUUUAAGGUACUUCGUUAGGAGGAACCCUGGGUGGCCAUCUUUGUCCUCCAUCUGCAUGCAGCACGAGUAAGCCUCGUCUUCAGCCCCUACGUGGGCACGUGCCACAGUCACUAGCUUCAUCAGAGCCCUGUUCUUGAACCUAGCCGCGUUGGUU
RNAcentral lists this long non-coding RNA (5502 nucleotides) under Brassica napus (rape). RNAcentral describes it as "long non-coding RNA (BNAP_LNC001036)". The record is from RNAcentral. Lineage: Eukaryota; Viridiplantae; Streptophyta; Magnoliopsida; Brassicales; Brassicaceae.